CGGGUGAGUAUAAUGUGGGAAUCUGCCUUUUGGUCUGGAAUAACACGAGGAAACUUGUGCUAAUACCGGAUAAGUCUUUACGGAGAAAGCUUUAUGCACCAUUGGAUGAGCCCGCACUUGAUUAGCUAGUUGGUAAGGUAAAAGCUUACCAAGGCAACGAUCAAUAGCUGUUCUUAGAGGAAGACCAGCCACAUUGGGACUGAGACACGGCCCAGACUCCUACGGGAGGCAGCAGUGGGGAAUCUUGCACAAUGGGGGAAACCCUGAUGCAGCGAUGCCGCGUGAGUGAAGAAGGCCUUUGGGUUGUAAAACUCUUUCGUCGGGGAAGAAAAUGACUGUACCCGAAUAAGAAGGUCCGGCUAACUUCGUGCCAGCAGCCGCGGUAAUACGAAGGGACCUAGCGUAGUUCGGAAUUACUGGGCUUAAAGAGCUCGUAGGUGGUUAAAAAAGUUGAUGGUGAAAUCCCAAGGCUCAACCUUGGAACUGCCAUCAAAACUUUUUAGCUAGAGUGUGAUA
Molecule: ribosomal RNA, 516 nt
Filed under: uncultured Pelagibacterales bacterium
Lineage: Bacteria; Pseudomonadati; Pseudomonadota; Alphaproteobacteria; Candidatus Pelagibacterales
Description: bacterial SSU rRNA
Rfam family: Bacterial small subunit ribosomal RNA
Source: RNAcentral